CAUAUACUCCCUUCGUCCCAAAAUUCUUGUCUUAGAUUUGUCUAAGUACGAAUGUAUCGGGUCAUGUUUUAGUAUUAGAUACGUCCAUAUCUAGACGAACCUAAGACACGAAUUUUGGGACGGAGGUAGUAUUUU
Non-coding RNA from Triticum aestivum (bread wheat), 135 nucleotides. Lineage: Eukaryota; Viridiplantae; Streptophyta; Magnoliopsida; Poales; Poaceae. The record is from Rfam.